Molecule: ribosomal RNA, 460 nt
Filed under: uncultured bacterium
Lineage: Bacteria
Description: partial 16S ribosomal RNA
Rfam family: Bacterial small subunit ribosomal RNA
Source: RNAcentral
CCUACGGGUGGCAGCAGUGAGGAAUAUUGGUCAAUGGACGAAAGUCUGAACCAGCCAAGUCGCGUGCAGGAAGACUGCCCUAUGAGUUGUAAACUUCUUUUGUAUGGGAGUAAAACUGGGUACGUUUAUUCUGUUGAAAGUACCGUACGAAUAAGGAUCGGAUAACUCCGUGCCAGCAGCCGCGGUAAUACGGAGGAUCCAAGCGUUAUCCGGAUUUAUUGGGUUUAAAGGGUGCGUAGGCGGAUUGUUAAGUUAGUGGUGAAAGUUUUGGGGUUAACCCUGAAACUGCCGUUAAAACUGGAGAUCUUGAGUGUAGAUGAGGUAGGCGGAAUGCGUGGUGUAGCGGUGAAAUGCUUAGAGAUCACGCAGAACUCCGAUUGCGAAGGCAGCUUACUGGACUGUAACUGACACUGAUGCUCGAAAGUGUGGGUAUCAAACAGGAUUAGAUACCCGAGUAGUC